CCCUUAGAUGUCCGGGGCUGCACGCGCGCUACACUGAAGGAAUCAGCGUGCUAGAAAACCUUGUUUGACAUGGCUAGGUAACCCGUUGAAAAUCUUUCGUGAUUGGGAUCGGGACUUGCAAAUGUGUCCCUUGAACGAGGAAUUCCCAGUAAGUGCGGGUCAUAAGCUCGCGCUGAUUACGUCCCUGCCCUUUGUACACACCGCCCGUCGCUGCCCGGAACUGAGCCGUUUCGAGAAGACUGGGGACUGCGAACUUUGGGCUGGAAAACAGCUUUUUGUUUGUGGAAACCACUUUAAUCGCAGCGGCUUGAACCGGGCAAAAGUCGUAACA
Molecule: ribosomal RNA, 331 nt
Filed under: uncultured eukaryote
Lineage: Eukaryota
Description: partial 18S ribosomal RNA
Rfam family: Eukaryotic small subunit ribosomal RNA
Source: RNAcentral